UACGAAGGGGGCUAGCGUUGUUCGGAAUUACUGGGCGUAAAGCGCACGUAGGCGGAUUUGUAAGUCAGGGGUGAAAUCCCGGGGCUCAACCUCGGAACUGCCUUUGAUACUGCAAGUCUUGAGUCCGAUAGAGGUGAGUGGAAUUCCUAGUGUAGAGGUGAAAUUCGUAGAUAUUAGGAAGAACACCAGUGGCGAAGGCGGCUCACUGGAUCGGUACUGACGCUGAGGAGCGAAAGCGUGGGGAGCGAACAGG
RNAcentral lists this ribosomal RNA (253 nucleotides) under uncultured bacterium. RNAcentral's name for it is "partial 16S ribosomal RNA". It matches the Rfam family "Bacterial small subunit ribosomal RNA", at positions 524 to 776 of the family's 1533-position model. The record is from RNAcentral.